GACGAACGCUGGCGGCGUGCUUAACACAUGCAAGUCGAACGGUGAAGCCCCAGCUUGCUGGUGUGGAUCAGUGGCGAACGGGUGAGUAACACGUGAGCAACCUGCCCCAGACUCUGGAAUAAGCGCUGGAAACGGCGUCUAAUACUGGAUACGAGAUCAAGCCGCAUGGUUAUGGUCUGGAAAGUUUUUCGGUUUGGGAUGGGCUCGCGGCCUAUCAGCUUGUUGGUGAGGUAAUGGCUCACCAAGGCGACGACGGGUAGCCGGCCUGAGAGGGCGACCGGCCACACUGGGACUGAGACACGGCCCAGACUCCUACGGGAGGCAGCAGUGGGGAAUAUUGCACAAUGGGCGAAAGCCUGAUGCAGCGACGCCGCGUGAGGGAUGACGGCCUUCGGGUUGUAAACCUCUUUCAGCAGGGAAGAAGCGAAAGUGACGGUACCUGCAGAAGAAGCACCGGCUAACUACGUG
RNAcentral lists this ribosomal RNA (468 nucleotides) under uncultured bacterium. RNAcentral describes it as "partial 16S ribosomal RNA". It matches the Rfam family "Bacterial small subunit ribosomal RNA", at positions 28 to 507 of the family's 1533-position model. The record is from RNAcentral.